RNAcentral lists this ribosomal RNA (460 nucleotides) under uncultured bacterium. RNAcentral's name for it is "partial 16S ribosomal RNA". It matches the Rfam family "Bacterial small subunit ribosomal RNA", at positions 338 to 795 of the family's 1533-position model. The record is from RNAcentral.
CCUACGUGAGGCAGCAGUGAGGAAUAUUGGUCAAUGGGCGCGAGCCUGAACCAGCCAAGCAGCGUGAAGGAUGACUGCCCUACGGGUUGUAAACUUCUUUUAUAGAGGAAUAAAGUGAGGCAAGUGUGCCUUUUUGUAUGUACUUUAUGAAUAAGGAUCGGCUAACUCCGUGCCAGCCGCCGCGGGAAUACGGUGGAUCCGAGCGUUAUCCGGAUUUAUUGGGUUUAAAGGGAGCGUAGAUGGGUUGUUAAGUCAGUUGUGAAAGUUUGCGGCUCAACCGGAAAAGUGCAAUUGAUACAGGCAGUCUUGAGUACAGUUGAGGUAGGCGGAAUUCGUGGUGUAGCGGUGAAAUGCGUAGAUAUCACGAAGAACUCCGAUUGCGAAGGCAGCUUACUAAACUGCCACUGACAUUGAUGCUCGAAAGUGUGGGUAUCAAACAGGAUUAGAUACCCGAGUAGUC